This 224-nucleotide long non-coding RNA is filed under the name Elaeis guineensis (African oil palm). RNAcentral describes it as "long non-coding RNA (EGUI_LNC082728)". Lineage: Eukaryota; Viridiplantae; Streptophyta; Magnoliopsida; Arecales; Arecaceae. The record is from RNAcentral.
AGCUGGUCUAUUCCCAGCUCUUUGACGACCCUUAGUCCUGCAAUCAGAGCUUGAUAUUCCGCUCCAUUGUUUGUUGCGGAGAACUCAAAACGCAGAGCGUACUCCGCGACGAUUCCCUCUGGACUGACCAAGAUUAGGCCUGCACCCGUGCUUGACAUGUUGGAAGACCCAUCCACAUAGAGGGCCCAAAAGCGAUCAGAGGGAUCCGCUUCUUCUUUGGGGGA